This 8659-nucleotide long non-coding RNA is filed under the name Marmota monax (woodchuck). Lineage: Eukaryota; Metazoa; Chordata; Mammalia; Rodentia; Sciuridae. The record is from RNAcentral.
GCUAUUUUGUCAGCAAAGGAGUUCCGUUUGCCUCUGGUGUCUCUGUGUUUUGGUGGCCUCUGUAAUGUAUGGUAGCCACUUUCUCUGGUAACCAGAGGGCUUUUUAGCAAAGCUAAUAUCUCCUUCAGCAUGUUUGAUAUCUUUUCCUCUUGAAGUUAAUAGUCCUCUCUCUUUAUAGAUAUCUCCAUGUACAUGAACAGUAGCAAAGGCAUACCUACUGUCAGUACAGAUAUUAACAGUCUUUCCUUUGUCGGGUCUGAGAGCCUGGGUACGUGCCAUUAGUUCUGCCUUUUGUGCAGAAUUUCCAUGUCCCAGAACUUGAGCCCAGAUAAUUUAAGGUAAUUAUAGCCGCCCCUGCACACCUGAUUCCAUUUUGGAUGUAGUUGCUGCCAUCAGUAUAGAGUGUCUCAUCUGGGUCUGGUCAAUGUGUGUCCAUCAGGUCUGGCUGGACAUUUUGGAGCAACUCCAAGAUAUCCUGGCAGUUGUGCAGGGACUCGGAGGAUCUUCAUCAGGAAGAAGGGUGGCUGGGUUUAAAGCUGAGGUUUUUAGGAACUUUAUUCUGGACCGAUUUAGAAAAAGGGCCUGUACUGGGUGAUGUGAAUGUUGGAGAGCCAGCGCUCUGGAGGGCUCUGAGCAAGGUUACUACAGCAUAUGGGGCUCUCACCUGUAAAUCUUGUCCCAGUGUAAGCUUUUCUGCUUCCUUAACCAGGAUUGCUGUGGCAGCGAUGGCUUGGAGGCAGUUUGGCCAUCCUCCCGCAGUCUUUUGGAUAGAUAUGCCACUCAUCGUUUUCGUGGCCUCAAAGUCUGAGUAAGCAUCUCUUUUGCUAUUCCCCUAACUUCAUGUACAAACAGUUAGGAUGGCUUUAGAACAUCUGGGAGGGCCAAUGCAGGUGCAGAGACUAAAUAUGUCUCUUGUUCUUUCUCAGUCUAAGUAAAAAAGUCCUUCUUUUCCUCCUGUACUAACAUCAGGGGUUGGGCUAGUUCAGAAAAACCAAGGAUCCAAAGGCGGCAAUACCCAACGGCCCUGAGGAAUUUUUGCACCCGAUGCUUAGUCUUGGGGUGAGGAAUCUGCAUGAUUGCUUUAAUUUUGUCCUGUGACAGAGUCCUUUUUCCUUCUUUUAGGUUAUAGCCCAAGUAAGUGGCUGAUGAGGUACACAUUUGGGUCUUUUUAGCUGACACCUGGUACCCCAAAAUUUUUAAGGUUUUUAACAAAUCUCUGCUUGGCUGUUCACAUUUAGUCCUAGUUUUGGUUGCUAUCAGGAGAUCAUUUACAUAUUGUAAAAGUACAGUCUCAGGGUGUUGCUGCCUGUAAGCUGUGAGGUCCCUGCCUGUAAGCUGUGAGGUCCCUGCUUAGGGCCUCGUCAAAUAGAGUUGGAGAGUUUUUAAAUCCCUGUGGCAACUGUGUCUUAGUCAAUUGUCCUGAAAAAUCUCCUUUCUGGGUCUGACCAUUUAGAAAUAAAAAUUGGUUGGCUUACCUUGGCCAGUAGCAAGCUGAAGAAGGCAUCUCUGAGGUCCAGGACAGUGUAGACUUGGUGAGAAGGAGGCAGUGAACUGAGAAGAGUGUAGGAAUUUGGUACCAUGGAAUGAAUAGUUUCCACUCUCUUGUUGAUUUUUCUUAAGUCUUGUACCUGUCGGUAGUCCUUUGUCUUAGGUUUCUGGACAAUCAGCAAUGGCAUGUUCCAGGCUGCUUGACAGGGAAUCAGGAGCCUUUUUAGCUUCUAGUCUGAUAGGAUACUGUAGGAUCUGCACAGGGGUGGCAGUGCUGGUGAGCUGCACUAUAACAGGUGGCUGGUGCACCGCUAAUCCAGGAGAAUUGGUUUCUGCCCAAACCCCUGGGAUUUUUUUUUUUUUUAGUCUUGUGAGGAAAUUGAAAGGUGAGGUAUGGGUGUCUUGUUAAGAGCAGGUAUUUUCCCCCAAAUGAUAAGUAUAUAAUAGCUUCUGUCCCUUUAAAUGACAGGUUGGCUGUGCCUUUCUGGAAAGAAAUGGUGGCUUGCAAUUUUUGUAGCAAGUUUCUGCCCAAUAGGGGAUAGGGGCAUUUUGGCAUUACAAGGAACUAGUGAGUUAUUGUCCCUUAAGUCAGUUCUCAUUAGAAAUUGGCCCUUCAGUUUCCAUUCCUGGGGGCUGCUGUUGUUUAGGAAGUGGAGCUCUUGGGGGUUGUUGUCCAAGAGCUUGAGGCCUUAGGCACCUCGAGACUCUGACACAUGUCAUGUCACCAUGACUCUUGUCAACCUUUUAUCUUGUUUUUCUCUGGGGGGAGGGGGUCCUCUACUAUUGUAGACACUUUGAGCUAUUUUACCAAUUUUGACAGCAUAUUUCCCUCAAAUCCUUCUGUCUCUAACUUUCUCCUAAUAUCUGGGGCCUAUUGAGUCACAAAAGUAAUGUUAAGAGCUCUUCUGUUUUCUGGAGCCUCUGGGCCCAUCGGUGCAUACACAGGAUGAGCCUUGGGAAGGCGCUCCAGGAAAGCCGCUAGGGGCUCAUCUGGGCCUUGAAUUGUCUCACUUACCUUUGCCAAUUUGGUGGGUUUUCUAGUGGCUGCUUUGACCUCUGUCAGUGGAGCCUGGUGGCACUGGUCAGUCACCUCCUUACCUGUCCAACUGGGAUGAACUGAAGGGAAAAUGAGUUCCACAUGAGUUGGAUCAUCAGAGGGUUGGCCAUCAACACCGAGAGAAGUUUUGGGACUUUUCUUCUGAUUUUAACAGAGAAAUCACUAGUAGAAAAAGGAACAUGUAUUAUGAAAGGGCUUUCUGUUUUCUCCCGAUGUGGUAGGGGGAGCCUGAUGGAGGGGAAGUGUGGGGACCAGAGUAGGAGAGAAAGAAUUGGAUAUAGGAUGGGAAGUCUUAGGCAUCGAGGGGGGAAUCCGUGCCUGAGGGACAGAGGGAUCCGGAGGAGGAAGAUCCUGGUCCUCAGAGCUCUCUUGUAGGACCUGUUUCUUCAGGGAGGAAGGUUUUGUUAGUCAUACAGUUUCAGUUUUGUUUUUCUUAGCUGUUCCUGUAAGGCAAAAUCUUAACCAUCUUGGCUCUUUUAGGAGGAUUUCAAUUCAAACCUGUGUAUAGGGCAACUGAUCUGGAUGGCCAGGCUGCCUGGAGAUGACUGAAUUCGAUAGGUGGUGGAGAGGCCAGUGGUCCCCUUUUGGGGGCCAUCUGACUUAAAGGCUGGCCAGGCUAACUCACAAAGUUUUCUGAGAGAGGAAACAUUACAUGAUGUUUUAUAAUUAGUUGUUUUCUCUGAAAACUCUUUAAAGUUAGACAAGAAGACAUUUAAGGAGUGUACAAAAUGAACAUGAAGUGGACUGAUUUUGCUCAUAAUGAGACUGAGACUAACAAUGAGACGCACAACAGACAAGGCGCCAUGAACAAACCUAAUUGACCAGAGAUUUAGAUGGGGUUUCCAACCCCCGGGGUCUUUAGCCCCAGAUGGGCCACUGAGUGACACCUUGAUGCUUCCCUGGACUGGGAAGUAGGUGCUGCGUCCAGCCUUCACUGAUGUCCCCAGACUGUGGCUUCACACAAACAGAGUUUUUCUUCUUUCCCGGGAGAACUAAGUCACAGGUGCAAAUUGCAAGUGCUUUCAAAUAGGCAGUUUGCAGGUUUGGCAGGAGCCAAUGAGGAGAGGACCUGGGGCCUUCCCCAGGUUGUCUCCGGCCCACCAGGUCUCCUGGGUGUUUCUGAGCAUUCUCCUACUUAUGAGAAGAGAAAUAUCUCUUUCAUCUCCCUGGGGCCUCCGAGAUGUUAUGGGGAGCCGCCUCAGAAAAUACUGUAAGUCUGAAUUCAAACAAAAGAGAGCUUUAUUUACCUGGCCAGGGAUGUCUCCCACCUGUAGAGACUGAUGCUCUGUGGGAGAACAGCAAUUUCUUGGCCUGUGUCUUGGGAAUUUAAGGACCAAAAAUCACAACUCCAGGGCUUUUCUCAGUGUCAUGCAAGCAAGCAAGUUACAGAAGCUAAAAAAAAGCAGUUAGCUUAACUGCAUCUCGGGUCCAAACAAGCGUUAGACAACCUUAUCCUGAGUUUCAGCUGAGCAGGGACAAUAAUCUAUUUUAAAGUCAUGUAGACCCAUGACUGUAGUCAAACCAGAAUGCAGCUCACCAUGACCACCACCAUCUCCUGAGUUGGGUACAUUCUGUGGGGUACAAAGUACAGAAAAACAAUUUUAAAAGAAGACAGCUUUCAUUUCUGUUUCUCAGAAAUGGGUCACGCAACAGUUUUUUUUUAUAGAAGACCUGUCUAUGCCGGUUCUUGCUUUAUAAUUGUCUUAUCUCACUUAUCAAAAUCUUAUAUCUAUAAUCUAUAUUUUUCACUAAUCUAUAACCUGUAACUUAGAUUCUUACUGAUUUUAUUGAUUAGUUUACACCACAACAAUUGGGUUAUUCUCUGAACCUUCUUGCAUGGUCUCGUGAGCUUUGGGAGACACUUCACAUUCAAACCAUAAUACCCUGUCAAAAAAUAAAAAAGGUCUGGGGGUGGUGGCUGGGUGGUUAAGCACCCCUGGGUUCAAUCCCUGGUACAAAAAAAAAAUCCCCCAAACAACCCCAUUAGCAAACUUCAUUAAAUUCCUUAAACAUUUUAAGCCAUAUUUACAUGUUUUAAUAAUUCUCUCUCCGGGACGUCACUCUCCACUUAGGCAUUUUCAAAUCCAAGCAGUGGGGGCUGGGGAUGUGGCUCAAGCGGUAGCGCGCUCGCCUGGCAUGCGUGUGGCCCGGGUUCGAUCCUCAGCACCACAUACAAACAAAGAUGUUGUAUCGCUGAAAACUAAAAAUAAAUAAAUAAAUAUUAAAAAUUCUCUCUUUAAAAAAAAAAAAAACAAAUCCAAGCAGUGAAGUCUUGCUCAGCACAAUGUAAUUGAAAAUGUUAUCAAUGUCAUAAAUCAAGUCCCUUUGAGCAAGCUAAUGAUGUUUACUGACUAUCAAAUCCCUUAUACCUCCAAAAUUAAAAUCACAUGUCUUCUUUCAGUUACACACUGCAGACUAAUAAAACCACAAAGUUAAUAUACACCAGAUUCUGUUGUGUGUUGAAGCAUCCUAGAUUAAUCCAUAGGUUGUCAUGAUAGGCCCAGAACUGCUGAACAUGGCUGAAAUAGUAGUACUAAGAGUUUGAUUUAUUUUAUCCACUUAUUUAUUUUUUAAUAGAUUUAAAAUCCCUUACGAGUUGGCUGGCUUUGGGGAUCAAAGAUUCAGAAUGGUGGUCUCAUCAUGUGAAGAUGGUAGCAUAGUGGCACUCCCCUACUCCACAGAAAGUCUUAAUUAAGCCUCUCCAGAAAUCUUCACCACAAUUGAUCUUAGGACUAUCAGCACAAGAAUCUCUACAAAAGAAUUCAAUGUAGUUAAACUUCUUAUAUCCUGUUGUUCUGUCUUACUUGGCUUGGAAGAGAUCGGCACUCCAGGUGCUGAACACCCCUUUAUUAGUUUUUCACAAACAUUUAUGGACUACCUAAAAUAACAACACAUAUAAUAGUUUGUAGAAGUGUGCUUGAAAAUACAGAGUAUGAUAAGAAAAACAUACUUUUAACUUGGCCUCUGGUGCUUCACAGAGAUGUUUACAUUUCAAAGAGAAGAGGUUACUAAUUGGGCUCCAAUUGGGCUGAAUUCAGGGUUCAGGGGGAUUGAUUGAUUAUAGGGAAAGCUUUGCCCUCUGAACCUGGCUAUAGCCAAAUAAAUCUGCUUCCUUCUCCUAUUUGGUGUCUUUUCUCAUCUGUCCCCUGCAACAUUUUACCGUUGAGGUGUGUACACUUCCAGGUGAUUCCACCCAAUUGACUCUCUUCUUUGAAACAGGGAUCCCUGAGCCCAUGCCUUUUGUGUGACCUACAUUACUCGCCCCUGGACAUCUUUUGUAUAUCACACAUGCCCAUUUUUUAAGGUCCCUGUUUCAGCUCACUUUAAAUGAUUGGGCAGAUGGAAUUUGCUACUCUGGCCAAGAUGAAAAUUAAUUGUUCCUAUGUUGGUGAGAUGGAUUCCCUGCCUCUCUCCCUGUCUAUGUGGACCGUUCCUUUAUUUUGUAUUUUAAUCUGCCUCUCACUAUACCUUUCUAGGACUUUGUUGACAGCCUCAUGAAGGGCAAUCUAUGAAAAACAGUUCCUCUCUGGAUCUUGCCCCCUUAGCAAGAUCUGAAUGACCGUAGUGAGUCCCCAGCCCGUCUCAUGUCCUCAGGUGCUGACCAGCUCAGAGCUGUCUGGACUUGGGCACAUGAUUACAGGUAUUAGUCAGCUUUCCAUAGUGUGAUGGAAUACCUGGGAUGAUUUGUAAGGAGGAAAGAUCCACUUUGGCUCAUGAUUUCAGAGGUUUCAGUAAGUAGUUACAUGGUAUAUUGCCUUUGGGUCUGUAGGGGGCAGCAUAUAAGGUAGAGGGUGCGUGGUGAAGGUCUGUUUACCUUAUGGCCACCAGGAGGCAAAGGAGGGUAAGGGCCCCAUGCCAAUACCCCCUUCAAGAGCACGCCCCCAGUGACCUAACUUCCUUCCACCAAGUCCUACUCCCUGAAGGUUCCACCACCUCCCAGCAGUGCCACAGGCUGGCAACCACACUGUCAACACAUGGGCUUUUGGGGACAUUUCAUAUCCAAAGCAUAACAAUACAAAGACUGAACGUAGAUUAGACUUCCUGAGGUGGUGAGGAGAGAUGGGGGACUUGGCCAGUUCUUCUCCUGUGCCAGGCCCUUUGGUGCGUCCACAGGUAAUGUGAGUGGUGAGGGUAUCUCUGAAUCUAAGACUCCAAAGCUCUCCCACGCAGCCUAGAGUAGGGUCUGCCCUGUGUCCCUGAGGGAAGUAAUGCAACUUCUUGUAACACCACUGCCUGGCAAGUGAAACAAAUGGGAUCAAGUCUCUCUGCCACUUACCGGCUGGGUCAUCUUGGGCAAAUGACUUUCUCAACUAGGACUGAUAAUGCUUCUUUAUUCUGGUCCUGGUGCAUAGCAGGCUUCUAAUAAGUAGCAGUGAGUACUGUUACUACAGGUUUUUUUUUUUUUAAUUAGCUAUGUUAUUUUAGAUAUUCUUAUUUGUUGUUUUUUGGUACCAGGGAUUGAAUCCAGGGGCGCCUUCCCAAUGAGCCACAUCUCCAGCCCUGUUUUAUUUAGAGAUAAGGUCUUGCUGAGUUGCUGAGGAGCCUCACCAAGUUGCUUAGUCCUCACUAAGUUGCCGAGGCUGGCUUUAAACUUGCAAUCCUCCUGCCUCAGCCUCCCAAGCGGCUGGGAUUACAGGUGCGUGCCACUGCAUGUGGGAAGCCAUUCUCGCACGUGAUUUGAGUUACCUCCCUGGUUGGGUGAGAGGCGCUUAGACAACUGUGUCAGAGCCUUCCCCACCCUGUCCCAGGUGCGAGGGCUUGUCCAUGUGGAGGGGUGCCUGGCCACUGACCCGAAGACCAAUCACUGACCCUGACCUUGGAAUGCUGCCCCCCUCCACUUUCAUUGGAUGAGAUUUUCCCUUUAAUUUUUUGUUCCCCAAUAAAAGCCCACUCCCUGGCAUGCUCUCCCUCUCUCGCUGGCCGCUUGUGUCAACCUCGCCACCGCAUUAGGUGGCUGGAGGCGGGAGCUAGGAGAAGCCGUCUCCGGAGCUGGGCAUUAAAGGUAACGAGAGUAUGUCUCUUUAAUUUUAAAACUCACUAGUUAUUUUCUAUGCUUUGAACCUCUUUUAUGAAGCUCGUGUGCUGGUCGCGCGGCAGAACUGCACCUGGCUAUUUUAGAUAUUCUUAAAGGAAAAAACCUGAUUAUAGAGAAAUACCAUUAAGAAUAUCCCUCCUUCAAUUCUAUGUGCUCCCACUCAAUAUCUAUGUCCUAAUCCCUGGAACUUGCGUUGUUGUCAGAGGGGACUUUGCAGAUGUGAAUAAGUAUCUUGAGAAAGGGAGCUUAUUCUGCGUUAUUUGGAUGAGCCCUUAUGAGAGGGUGCAGGAGCAUCAGGGUCAGAGGAGGUGGGACAGUGGAAGCAGAGGUUGGGAUGAUGAGAGGCCAUAAGCCAUGAAAUUCAGGCAGCCAUUACAAGCUAGGAAGCCAAGGCAGGGGAUUUGCCCCCAGAAAGAACAUAGCCCUGCAGAUCCGUAUUGGGUUUCUAAUCUCCAGGACUAGAAGAUGAUAAAUUCAUAUUGUUUUAAGCCACUACAUUUGUGGCAAUUCGCUGCAACCACUGAAGUGGCACCCCCUUCCUCCACAGAAAAGCCCUCUUCACCAUGGCUGAUUUUAGGACUGUCAGCAAAAGAGUCCAUUGUAGAUAAACUUCCUAUUUUCAUGUCACCCUGUUUACUUGGCCACUGGCCAAGAAGAUACCAGCACUCCAGGUGCUGGACACCCCCUUACUAGUUUUUCACAAACGUAUCCAGUAUAGUACUUUGAAGAAAUGUGCAAACAAGGCCUCUGGCCUUGAGCGAGGCUUCACAGGGAUGUCUACAUUUUUAAGAUAAGUUACAAAUGGGCCCAUGGUAACAGCGGGCAGGGGGAGGAAAGAAAGAGGAGAAGAAGCUCUUCCCUUCUCAGGCAUUGUCCUUAAAGAGUUAACCAGUGAAAGAAAAAGCUGCUUUUAUGUGAACUUCUGCAGACUGUGAACUUCUGCAGACUGUGAACUUCUGAGCCCCUCCCCUUACACGCUGGGUAUAAAACUGAAACUCCCUGAACUCAGGGUUCAGGGGAUUGAUUGAUUACAGCAAAGGCUGUACCCUCUGAACCUGGCUGCAGCCAAAUAAAACUGU